CGCACAUUGCGCCCGCUGGUAUUCCAGCGGGCAUGCCUGUUCGAGCGUCAUUUCAACCCUCAAACUUGUAGUAGUUUGGUGUUGGGGCAAUACCUCCGUCUUCCCUUCUGGGGAAGCAGGGUAUGCCCUCAAAUAGAGUUGGCGGGCUCACUAAGACUCUGAGCGUAGUAGUUUAACCACCUCGCUUUUGGAUGGAUUAGUGAUUGCUCUAGCCGUUAAACCCCCCUCUUUUUUAGAAAGUUGACCUCGGAUCAGGUAGGAAUACCCGCUGAACUUAA
Molecule: unclassified non-coding RNA, 278 nt
Filed under: Gnomoniopsis occulta
Lineage: Eukaryota; Fungi; Ascomycota; Sordariomycetes; Diaporthales; Gnomoniaceae
Description: partial contains 5.8S ribosomal RNA, internal transcribed spacer 2, and large subunit ribosomal RNA
Source: RNAcentral